This 253-nucleotide ribosomal RNA is filed under the name uncultured bacterium. RNAcentral's name for it is "partial 16S ribosomal RNA". It matches the Rfam family "Bacterial small subunit ribosomal RNA", at positions 524 to 776 of the family's 1533-position model. The record is from RNAcentral.
UACGAGGGGGGCAAGCGUUGUUCGGAAUUAUUGGGCGUAAAGGGUGCGUAGGCGGUUUGGUAAGUCUUAUGUGAAAUAUACAGGCUCAACUUGUAGUCUGCAUGAGAAACUGCCGGGCUUGAGUAUGGGAGAGGUGAGUGGAAUUCCUGGUGUAGCGGUGAAAUGCGUAGAUAUCAGGAGGAACACCUGUGGCGAAAGCGGCUCACUGGACCAUAACUGACGCUGAUGCACGAAAGCGUGGGGAGCAAACAGG